RNAcentral lists this ribosomal RNA (251 nucleotides) under uncultured Pseudomonas sp. RNAcentral describes it as "partial 16S ribosomal RNA". It matches the Rfam family "Bacterial small subunit ribosomal RNA", at positions 526 to 776 of the family's 1533-position model. The record is from RNAcentral. Lineage: Bacteria; Pseudomonadati; Pseudomonadota; Gammaproteobacteria; Pseudomonadales; Pseudomonadaceae.
CGAAGGGUGCAAGCGUUAAUCGGAAUUACUGGGCGUAAAGCGCGCGUAGGUGGUUUGGUAAGAUGGAUGUGAAAUCCCCGGGCUCAACCUGGGAACUGCAUCCAUAACUGCCUGACUAGAGUACGGUAGAGGGUGGUGGAAUUUCCUGUGUAGCGGUGAAAUGCGUAGAUAUAGGAAGGAACACCAGUGGCGAAGGCGACCACCUGGACUGAUACUGACACUGAGGUGCGAAAGCGUGGGGAGCAAACAGG